Molecule: long non-coding RNA, 479 nt
Filed under: Cyanistes caeruleus (blue tit)
Lineage: Eukaryota; Metazoa; Chordata; Aves; Passeriformes; Paridae
Description: lncRNA (ENSCCEG00000006289.1)
Source: RNAcentral
AUUAAAUGUAAAUAACACUCGGAUGAGAAGAUGAAAACAAGCUCCUGGUCUUGUUCAUGGGGGGGAAAGGGUGGUGAAUUCUCCCUCUCUGUAGUAUGGCAGAGUUAAGUUUCUGCUUUCCCUUGGUCUGACGAUUUUGCCUUUUUGUGGUGGGAUUCCAGCUAAUGCUGCAAAGCUUUCAGGUUCAAUGGGACCAUCACUCUCUGCAGUUUAUCAGUCUUUGGGCGAUGGUCGCACACUACCUUCCUGCAGAAGCCAUGGAAACGAUUUUCACUGCACUGUAAUUUGGAAGACAACCAGACUGAUAAUGGAGGGAGAGACCCUAGGUAUUUGCAAGGAUGAAGAUAGGAAGUAGAUUUGACUGAAGUGACACAGUUCAUGGGGCAUGGAAGUAACCCUUGAGAAUGCAGCUCUCAACCCUUUUGAACUAUGAUGGACCAUUAUUGUGGUUGAUACAAAAGGAAAUGAAAUAAUCUAAU